This 488-nucleotide ribosomal RNA is filed under the name uncultured bacterium. Its description in RNAcentral is "bacterial SSU rRNA". It matches the Rfam family "Bacterial small subunit ribosomal RNA", at positions 23 to 518 of the family's 1533-position model. The record is from RNAcentral.
CUCAGGACGAACGCUGGCGGCGUGCCUAACACAUGCAAGUCGAGCGGACCUUAAUGAAAGCUUGCUGGAUUAAGGUAGCGGCGGACGGGUGAGUAACGCGUGAGCAAUCUGUCCCAUACAGGGGGAUAAUACCGCGAAAGUGGUUCUAAUACCGCAUGAGACCACGGUAGGGCAUCCUACAGGGGUCAAAGGAGCAAUCCGGUAUGGGGUGAGCUCGCGUCCGAUUAGAUAGUAGGUGAGGUAACGGCCCACCUAGUCGACGAUCGGUAGCCGACCUAAGAGGGUGAUCGGCCACAUUGGGACUGAGACACGGCCCAGACUCCUACGGGAGGCAGCAGUGGGGAAUAUUGGGCAAUGGGCGAAAGCCCUGACCCAGCAACGCCGCGUGAAGGAAGAAGGUUCUUCGGAUCGUAAACUUCUGUCCUAAGGGAAGAGGAGAAGACUGUACCUUAGGAGGAAGCCCCGGCUAACUACGUGCCAGCAGCUGC